This is a long non-coding RNA of Oreochromis niloticus (Nile tilapia), 2127 nucleotides long. Lineage: Eukaryota; Metazoa; Chordata; Actinopteri; Cichliformes; Cichlidae. The record is from Ensembl.
UGGUUUUGCUGUUCGUCAUCGCUGGACUCUUUUCUCCGUGCUCUUUCCUCACAUCAGGUCAGAAAUGUCUCCCAUUGUUUACAAUUUUAUCAUAAUAAAUGUUUACAUUACUAAAAGCUCAUUUGUGAUGUUUUAUGGAUAAACUGUGUGGUGUUACAGGUGGAAACGGCAUGAAUGUAUAUUACUGCGACACUGAAAACUGUGUCAAUGAUGUAAAGCGUGUUUACUGUGAAGAUCUAGAGCUCCUGGGUUUCAAAUUGUCAGAGAUUUCAAAUUGUUCCUACGGUCCGCUUCCACCCAAUACCAUCUGCCAACACAGAGGCCACUUGUUUGUCUCCACCUUCUUAAAGUCCUGUGAAUUUGAAGGGGACACUGACUAUAUAGAGACCAAAAAUUGUACAGACUGCUCUUUUUUAAAUAGAGCUACCACACCGGCAGUCACCCCAAGCACUGUGGAAACAUCUUCGCAGCCCAAUUCCAAACUUCUAGGUGUCGUGCCCGCAGUAGCCUGUUCUACAGGUGUGGUACUGCUGUUAGCGGGUUUCUUUUACAGAAAAGCAAAAAAUCAGCAACAACAAAGACAGACUCAAACCAGUCCUGGGUUGCAGAAUGACAGCUCAUUAGUCUAAUGCCUUGGAUCUAACAUCAUACUCCUUGUUCGAGGCCAGGGCAUGCCUCCACUAAGGGUCCUUCCUGCUACCCAAGCCUACUGUGAGGGACAACUGUAGCCAUGCCGGCUCGGACGUCGUCUUGAUUAAGGUCUGCAUGAGGUGUUGAAGAACCAGAAGAGUUUACAUAAGCAGACAGCAUCAUUCUGAUGCUCGCACUUUUGGCUAGUACUUAAAUAGGGCUUUUCCAAGUGAUGGCAACAUCAAGAAGAAGGAAUGCUCAAUAGCAGAAUAAGCUGUUUAGUACUACCUGAAAGAAUUUGCCAAGUUUUUCAUGGGGGAAAUCCAAAAAUGUAUUUUCCUCACAAAUGUGACACAUUUAUGUGGAAAUACACAGGCUUUCCAACAUGGAAGUACAAAGAAGGAUUGUUACAACCAACUUUAUAUUAUCUGUAGAUGUAUUAUUAUGUGUGUAAAAAGAAAAUAAUCAUAUUUCUAACCAAAAUGGUUUUCCCUCUUUAAAAUUGUUUAUUUAUUCUUCUUCUCAUUAUGUUCUCUAUGAGACUGGCUGUUGUCAGGGCCCAUUUGUGCCCCUUUACAUACUUUUUUUUUAAUCCAGUGGUGCACUGAAUGAGAAGCAGGAAAGGAAGUGUACAUUUGAUUCAAAGAAAUGGGAUGUAGUCUAUAUUUACAGCUAUAUGCAGUAAACUUUGUUAUUAGAGACAAGGACAUUUAGUUAUUUCUGAACAUGUGUAAGGCUGUCAAACAGUAAUUGUUUUGGCCUUUUCUGAGAAGAAAACAGUUCUUUAUAGCACCUAAAAGUAUCACUACAGAAAUAUGCAUUGGUGGAUUUCUUUACAGAGAAGUGGGUGAAAAUUCCUCCAGAGCUGUGUGCAAACUUAUGCUUUUCAGCAAGGAUUCCUCCAUCAUGUAUCACAUCAGUGGUUCCCAAACUUUUUUUUUGCUAGUUUGGGCACAAACACAUCCUUCAACCACACACACCCAUUUUUGUUUUUCAAACUCCAUUGCAGUUUAUUUCACACCUCAAACCUUUUGUAAACAGUGAAACACAGAAAAGUAAACUGUAAUAAAUUACAGCUUGCAAUAAUAAACCACUAAACAAACCAUCUUUAUGGUGAAAUUAUUUUACGUAUAGUUGUUGUUGUUUUUUUACUGUGUAAGAAUAUUCAACCAUGCUAUCAAUACAUUUUUCAAAAAAUGUCUCUCUGUGCAAAAUGAGUUUAAAAACAUAAACAACUGUGGGAUACUGUUUGUCAGUGAUUUGAACCAGGAAAACAAACUGUGGCAGGAUCAGCCUGAUAUUAUUUGUAUCCCACUGUAACUUUACUGUAUAAAGAGCUAACAUCGCCAAAAUUUCAUUAUAAGAAGUGUUUGUGAAUUAAAAAUCAAGAAUGUGGGAUACUGUUUGUCCGUGAUUUGAACAGUCCAGCGCAUGCUCCUGACGCAGGGGAAACAAAUUCUGUCGGGGAGACCAACCUUGGCAGCACCAUUGUGCAGG